AAGUCGUAACAAGGUUUCCCGGAAGGAUCAUUAACACGUAUCCAACGUUAAAACCCCCCGUGGGACUUCUGUAAGAGUGUGCUUGUAGCGCGAGGCAAGUGGCCUGGCAUCCUUGUCUGAAAGUGUCAAGUGGCGCAGUCACGAUCGCCACGGCCGACCGGGUCACCGGGCUCUCGCCCCUUUGUCGCCUUUGCCUGAAAACGGGCCUGCGCUUAAUUGUGCGGCCAUAAACCGAACAACUGUUAACAAUGGAUAUCUUGGUUCUC
RNAcentral lists this unclassified non-coding RNA (266 nucleotides) under fungal sp. RNAcentral describes it as "partial internal transcribed spacer region". Lineage: Eukaryota; Fungi. The record is from RNAcentral.